Molecule: small RNA, 45 nt
Filed under: Streptococcus pneumoniae R6
Lineage: Bacteria; Bacillati; Bacillota; Bacilli; Lactobacillales; Streptococcaceae
Also listed under: 1 other name
Description: Streptococcus sRNA SpR20
Rfam family: Streptococcus sRNA SpR20
Source: Rfam by way of RNAcentral
UGGCAUAGCCCUUGUUCUCGCAGCUGUCUGGUUAGGAUGGCCCAA